GACGAACGCUGGCGGCGUGCUUAACACAUGCAAGUCGAACGGAAAGGCCCUGCUUUUGUGGGGUGCUCGAGUGGCGAACGGGUGAGUAACACGUGAGUAACCUGCCCUUGGCUUUGGGAUAACUUCAGGAAACUGGGGCUAAUACCGGAUAGGAGCUCCUGCUGCAUGGUGGGGGUUGGAAAGUUUCGGCGGUUGGGGAUGGACUCGCGGCUUAUCAGCUUGUUGGUGGGGUAGUGGCUUACCAAGGCUUUGACGGGUAGCCGGCCUGAGAGGGUGACCGGCCACAUUGGGACUGAGAUACGGCCCAGACGCCUACGGGAGGCAGCAGUGGGGAAUAUUGCACAAUGGGCGGAAGCCUGAUGCAGCAACGCCGCGUGCGGGAUGACGGCCUUCGGGUUGUAAACCGCUUUCGCCUGUGACGAAGCGUGAGUGACGGUAAUGGGGAAAGAAGCACCGGCUAACUACGU
This 467-nucleotide ribosomal RNA is filed under the name uncultured bacterium. Its description in RNAcentral is "partial 16S ribosomal RNA". It matches the Rfam family "Bacterial small subunit ribosomal RNA", at positions 28 to 506 of the family's 1533-position model. The record is from RNAcentral.